Molecule: ribosomal RNA, 1907 nt
Filed under: Lunulicardia hemicardium
Lineage: Eukaryota; Metazoa; Mollusca; Bivalvia; Cardiida; Cardiidae
Description: SSU rRNA
Rfam family: Eukaryotic small subunit ribosomal RNA
Source: RNAcentral
AAUUAUAUGCUUGUCUUAAAGAUUAAGCCAUGCAAGUCUAAGUACGGCCCUACUCUCUGAGGGGGCGAGACUGCGGACGGCUCAUUAAAUCAGUUAUGAUUCCCAGGAGCCAGAACCACUUACUUGGAUAACUGUGGCAAUUCUAGAGCUAAUACAUGCACUUUAAGCUCCGCCUGCCCCGCUCGCGGGGCGGGAGGUUGCGCACCUGUUAGCCUCGAACAACGGCUGGGGCCACUUGACUGUGGCCCCGUCGAAGGGAGAUGAACUCUAGACAGCUUUGCCGAUCGCACGGCCUUUCGAGCCGGCGACGUACCUUUCAAGUGUCUGACCUAUCAUACUAGAUGGUUUGCGCUCUGCGCACCAUGGUUGUAACGGGUGACGGGGAAUCAGGGUUCGAUUCCGGAGAGGGAGCAUGAGAAACGGCUGCCACAUCCAAGGAAGGCAGCAGGCACGCAACUUACCCAAUGCCGACACGGCGAGGUAGUGACGAAAAAUACCAAUACGGGAGCCGCUACAAGCGGUCCCGCAAUUGAAAUGAGUACACUCUAAAUCCUUUAACGAGGAUCUAUUGGAGGGCAAGUCUGGUGCCAGCAGCCGCGGUAAUUCCAGCUCCAAUAGCGUAUGUCAAUGCUGCUGCGGUUAAAACGCUCGAAGUUGGAUCUCGGUGACGGGCCGGCCGUCUCGCUCUCGGAGCGGUGCACGGCCGGCGAUAGAUAGGGAGUGAAUGCAUUCCCUAUACUGACUCCGUCCCUCUGUCCGGAGAACUCGGCCCGGGUGCUCUUGACUGAGCCGCUCGGUGCCUGGCCGGACGCUUCACUGUGAAAAAAUUAGAGUGCUCAAAGCAGGCCUCUGUGCCGGCAUAUCGCUGCAUGGAAUGAUAGAGAAGGACCUCGGCGCAUGCCCCUCUUUCACGGGGUGGCGUGGCGCUCGAGGUAAUGAUUAAGAGGGACUGCCGGGGGCAUACGUACUGCGGCGCGAGAGGUGAAAUUCUGUGACCGUCGCAGGACGAACUAAAGCGAAGGCAUUUGCCAAGAAUGUCUUCAUUAAUCUAGAACGAAAGUCAGAGGCUCGAAGACGAUCAGAUACCGUCGUAGUUCUGACUGUAAACUCUGCCUACUGGCAAUCCGCCGACGAUAUCUUAACGACUCGGCGAGCGGCCUACGGGAAACCAAAGUUUUUGGGUUCCGGGGGGAGUACGGUCGCAAGGCUGAAACUUAAAGGAAUUGACGGAAGGGCACCACCAGGAGUGGAGCCUGUGGCUUAAUUUGACUCAACACGGGAAAACUCACCCGGUCCGGACACUGGUAGGAUUGACAGACUAAAGCUCUUUCUUAAUUCAGUGGGUGGUGGUGCAUGGCCGUUCUUAGUUGGUGGAGUGAUUUGUCUGGUUAAUUCCGAUAACGAACGAGACUCUUGCCUACUAAAUAGUUCGGGGACCCAGGGCUGGACUCGUCUAGCCCGCUAAGGGUCGCCCGCAAACACUCGUCUCUUUCGGGAGCGAGCCAACUUCUUAGAGGCACAAGUGGCGCUUAGCCACACGAAACGGAGAGCAAUAACAGGUCUGUGAUGCCCUUAGAUGUCCGGGGCCGCACAUGCGCUACAAUGGCUGCAUCAGCGCGAGUCUUUCCUGAAAGGGCAAGGGAACCGCUCAACCGUAGUCUCGGUUGGGAUUGGGGGCUGCAAGUGUCCCCCAUGAACACGGAAUUCCUAGUAGGCGCCAGUCAUCAGCUGGCGUCGAUUGAGUCCCUGCCCUUUGUACACACCGCCCGUCGCUACUACCGAUCGCUCUCGUUAAUGAGCCCGUCGGAUUGGACCCGGUGGGGCGCUUCGGCGCCUCGCGUCAUGGUGCUGCCGAGAAGAUGGGCGAAUUAUCGGGGGUAGAGGAAGUAAAAGUCGUAACAAGGUAU